GACGAACGCUGGCGGCGUGCUUAACACAUGCAAGUCGAACGGAAAGGCCCUGCUUUUGUGGGGUGCUCGAGUGGCGAACGGGUGAGUAACACGUGAGUAACCUGCCCUUGACUUUGGGAUAACUUCAGGAAACUGGGGCUAAUACCGGAUAGGAGCUCCUGCUGCAUGGUGGGGGUUGGAAAGUUUCGGUUGUUGGGGAUGGGCUCGCGGCUUAUCAGCUUGUUGGUGGGGUAGUGGCUUACCAAGGCUUUGACGGGUAGCCGGCCUGAGAGGGUGACCGGCGACAUUGGGACUGAGGUACGGACCAGAGUGCUACGGGAGGCAGCAGUGGGGAAUAUUGCACAAUGGGCGGGAGCCUGAUGCGGCAACGCUGCGUGCGGGAUGACGGCCUUCGUGUUGUAAACCGCUUUCGCCUGUGACGAAGCGUGAGUGACGGUAAUGGGUAAAGAAGCACCGGCUAACUACGUG
RNAcentral lists this ribosomal RNA (468 nucleotides) under uncultured bacterium. RNAcentral's name for it is "partial 16S ribosomal RNA". It matches the Rfam family "Bacterial small subunit ribosomal RNA", at positions 28 to 507 of the family's 1533-position model. The record is from RNAcentral.